AAGAAAACUCAUUGUAAAACGCUCUUGCCUUCCUUAAUAUAUAGCUUAUGGAACAUUUCAUGUACCAAAACAAGCUUAUUUGAGCAACUUCACGUUUCAAAUCUCCGUAUUCUGUUGUGAUUACCGACUUACCGUCUUUGCGGUUGAGGUUGUACAGCUCCCCGUGUUCUUGUUGGCUCGUCUCCUCUUCUUUAACUGUCUGGUCUUCCAUAAACAAUAGUGCAUUAGGUAGAGGGUCUGAUUUUUUAAGGUCAUUAUGAUAGAUUUCCGUACGCGUUUUUCCAGGAAAAGCAUUGUUGAACAUGUUUUCGCUUAUGGAUUUUGAUGGCCGGGGCUUGUUUUCGUUGCGUUUACGAGGUUUCCGGGUCGAAAUUGAGAUUUUGGAGCGGUGGACUUGAGCGAGG
RNAcentral lists this long non-coding RNA (404 nucleotides) under Brassica rapa (field mustard). RNAcentral's name for it is "long non-coding RNA (BRAP_LNC000119)". The record is from RNAcentral. Lineage: Eukaryota; Viridiplantae; Streptophyta; Magnoliopsida; Brassicales; Brassicaceae.